UCCGAACAGAGAAGUCAAGCCCGCCAGAGCCGAUGGUACUGCGGUAAAACGUGGGAGAGUAGGUCGGUGCCCAAU
This 75-nucleotide ribosomal RNA is filed under the name Mucilaginibacter sp. OK268. The record is from RNAcentral. Lineage: Bacteria; Pseudomonadati; Bacteroidota; Sphingobacteriia; Sphingobacteriales; Sphingobacteriaceae.